AGCUCCAAUAGCGUAUAUUAAAGUUGUUGCAGUUAAAAAGCUCGUAGUUGGAUUUCGGUGCGGGCCGGUCGGUCGGCCGCGAGGUCUGUUACUGACCGGUCUGUUCUUCUUCGCAAAGACUGCGUGUGCUCUUCACUGGGUGUGCGUAGGAUUUGCGACGUUUACUUUGAAAAAAUUAGAGUGUUCAAAGCAGGCUAUCGCUUGAAUACAUGAGCAUGGAAUAAUGGAAUAGGACUUUGGUUCUAUUUUGUUGGUUUCUAGGACCAAAGUAAUGAUUAAGAGGGACAAUUGGGGGCAUCCGUAUUUCGUUGUCAGAGGUGAAAUUCUUGGAUUUGCGAAAGACGAACAACUGCGAAAGCACUUGCCAAGAGUGUUUUCAUUAAUCAAGAACGAAAGUACG
Molecule: ribosomal RNA, 400 nt
Filed under: phytoplankton environmental sample
Lineage: Eukaryota
Description: partial small subunit ribosomal RNA
Rfam family: Eukaryotic small subunit ribosomal RNA
Source: RNAcentral